Molecule: ribosomal RNA, 253 nt
Filed under: uncultured bacterium
Lineage: Bacteria
Description: partial 16S ribosomal RNA
Rfam family: Bacterial small subunit ribosomal RNA
Source: RNAcentral
UACGUAGGGCGCAAGCGUUGUCCGGAAUUAUUGGGCGUAAAGAGCUCGUAGGCGGUUCGUCGCGUCGGCUGUGAAAACCCGGAGCUCAACUCCGGGCCUGCAGUCGAUACGGGCGGACUUGAGUGUUGCAGGGGAGACUGGAAUUCCUGGUGUAGCGGUGAAAUGCGCAGAUAUCAGGAGGAACACCGGUGGCGAAGGCGGGUCUCUGGGCAACUACUGACGCUGAGGAGCGAAAGCGUGGGGAGCGAACAGG